This 74-nucleotide transfer RNA is filed under the name Bacteroidota bacterium. RNAcentral describes it as "Bacteroidetes bacterium tRNA-Ile". It matches the Rfam family "tRNA". Rfam says of the family: Transfer RNA (tRNA) molecules are approximately 80 nucleotides in length. Their secondary structure includes four short double-helical elements and three loops (D, anti-codon, and T loops). Further hydrogen bonds mediate the characteristic L-shaped molecular structure. tRNAs have two regions of fundamental functional importance: the anti-codon, which is responsible for specific mRNA codon recognition, and the 3' end, to which the tRNAs corresponding amino acid is attached (by aminoacyl-tRNA synthetases). tRNAs cope with the degeneracy of the genetic code in two manners: having more than one tRNA (with a specific anti-codon) for a particular amino acid; and 'wobble' base-pairing, i.e. permitting non-standard base-pairing at the 3rd anti-codon position. Lineage: Bacteria; Pseudomonadati; Bacteroidota. The record is from RNAcentral. RNAcentral also lists the same sequence under 2 other names.
GGGCCCAUAGCUCAGACGGUUAGAGCAGCUGACUCAUAAUCAGCUGGCCACAGGUUCAAGUCCUGUUGGGCCCA